RNAcentral lists this unclassified non-coding RNA (382 nucleotides) under Hevea brasiliensis (rubber tree). Lineage: Eukaryota; Viridiplantae; Streptophyta; Magnoliopsida; Malpighiales; Euphorbiaceae. The record is from RNAcentral.
AGUUAUAAUAUUUUAUAGGAAUACUGCUUGUGGAUAUAUGCCUAGUUGCUCCAUCUCAACUCAUGUUUUUCUGCAAGUCAUUCCAGUAUAGGAGAAUGGAGUAGAAAGUACUGUUUUAGUAUAGCGGGAACGUAUUAAACUUUGUGUAUUACUGUCAUAAAAUCAAGUUAUUUGACUAAAUCAGGAAAAUAUAAUAUCUGUCAGAUUGCUAUGCUAAUCUCAGGUGAAAUGUUCUAAUUUUAUAUAUUUGAAUGAUUGGUGUUUUCUUUCUUUCUUCUUUUUGUUUUUCCUUUUUUUAAUUUUUUUAAUAUGUUCAUAUCUAGCUUGGUUAUGUAAAUCAUCCAUUUUUUUUUAAAUAAAUGAAGGAUUUAAAUAAUGAGUU